Molecule: ribosomal RNA, 468 nt
Filed under: uncultured bacterium
Lineage: Bacteria
Description: partial 16S ribosomal RNA
Rfam family: Bacterial small subunit ribosomal RNA
Source: RNAcentral
GACGAACGCUGGCGGUGUGCUUAACACAUGCAAGUCGAACGGAAAGGCCCUGCUUUUGUGGGGUGCCCGAGUGGCGAACGGGUGAGUAACACGUGAGUAACCUGCCCUUGACUUUGGGAUAACUUCAGGAAACUGGGGCUAAUAUCGGAUAGGAGCUCCUGCUGCAUGGUGGGGGUUGGAAAGUUUCGGCGGUUGGGGAUGGACUCGCGGCUUAUCAGCUUGUUGGUGGGGUAGUGGCUUACCAAGGCUUUGACGGGUAGCCGGCCUGAGAGGGUGACCGGCCACAUUGGGACUGAGAUACGGCCCAGACUCCUACGGGAGGCAGCAGUGGGGAGUAUUGCACAAUGGGCGGAAGCCUGAUGCAGCAACGCCGCGUGCGGGAUGACGGCCUUCGGGUUGUAAACCGCUUUCGCCUGUGACGAAGCGUGAGUGACGGUAAUGGGUAAAGAAGCACCGGCUAACUACGUG